CAACAGGGAUUGCCUUAGUAACUGCGAGUGAAGCGGCAAAAGCUCAAAUUUGAAAUCGACGUCUCCACGAGGUGUCGAGUUGUAAUUUGGAGGGACAACUUCGGGCUGAACCACAUCGUAAGUUCCUUGGAACAGGACGUCAUAGAGGGUGAGAAUCCCGUGUCUUGAUGUCGGGUCAAACCCGUGUGAAGUGUCUCCGACGAGUCGAGUUGUUUGGGAAUGCAGCUCAAAAUGGGUGGUAAAUUUCAUCUAAAGCUAAAUAUUGGCGAGAGACCGAUAGCGCACAAGUAGAGUGAUCGAAAGAUGAAAAGCACUUUGAAAAGAGAGUCAAAAAGUACGUGAAAUUGUUGAAAGGGAAGCGCUUGCGACCAGACUCGAUCUUUGGGGAUCAGCCGGGCUUCGGUCCGGUGCCCUCCCCAUUGGUUGGGCCAGCAUCGGUUCCGGCGGUGGGAUAAAAGGAGGAGGAAUGUGGCUCCCUUUGGGGAGUGUUAUAGCCACCUUCACAAUGCUGCCAGUUGGGACCGAGGACCGCGCUUCGGCUAGGAUGCUGGUGUAAUGGUCUUAAGCGACCCGUCUUGAAACACGGACCAAGGAGUCUAACAUCUAUGCGAGUGUUCGGGUGGAAAACCCUUGCGCGUAAUUAAAGUGAACGGAGGUGUGAACCCCUUGCGGGGUGCAACAUCGACCGGUCCUGAUGUCUUCGGAGGGAUCUGAGUAAGAGCAUAGCUGUUGGGACCCGAAAGAUGGUGAACUAUGCCUGAAUAGGGUGAAGCCAGAGGAAACUCUGGUGGAGGCUCGCAGCGGUUCUGACGUGCAAAUCGAUCGUCAAAUUUGGGUAUAGGGGCGAAAGACUAAUCGAACCAUCUAGUAGCUGGUUCCUGCCGAAGU
Molecule: ribosomal RNA, 888 nt
Filed under: Geopora sp. A KH.01.29
Lineage: Eukaryota; Fungi; Ascomycota; Pezizomycetes; Pezizales; Pyronemataceae
Description: eukaryotic LSU rRNA
Rfam family: Eukaryotic large subunit ribosomal RNA
Source: RNAcentral